UAUAUAUAUAUAACCACUUCCAUCCAGUUUUACACCUGUUGCCGUUUUGGAGCCCCUGCAGUGCACUUUACAACAUCUUCGCUUUUUGUGCUUAUUUGCUCCACAGAACGCCGGAACACAAAGUAGUGCCAUUAGUCGUAAAAGUGCUCAGUCCCAUGCCAAGUCCCCCGAUUUACUGUGUGAAGGAAACGUUUACUAGAAAAUACUCCUCUGGUUCAGUCAUCCGGCUCCUCGGCUCAGGACAGAGUGAGUGGAUUUGUGUGCGUGUAGAAUUGUCGUGUCACUCGCUGUACUUUGGCACGCGAGGACUCGGUGAGGGAGGCUGAUCACUCUAUUCAGAUGCAUCGCAUUGAAGAGGAGAAACAAAUAAAGUGGAUUUCAUUGAGGCAGUUUGCAUUCAAGACAUGAAGACAAACAAAGUUUAACCUUUCUAAUCUUUAGCUGCGUUUGCUUUGGAUCUUUUAUAACAUCAUCUUUCCUCCGUCUGUGCUCUCCUUCCAACGAUGUAUCACUUCAUUAGUCCGCUUUAUAAUAUAAAGGUGGUACUUUGUCACUUUAUUAUUCCGUCAUUGGGGUUUGAUUGGUUUUCUUACCGUGAACAAUACAGGUUCCUUAUAACGCUGAAACGCUGAUAUCCAUUCUGGUUAAAGCGCUCGUUUUUCUAAAGCCUCUUUGCUUGGAGCUGAAGAAUGGCUGCCGAUGAUGACGGCAAUUAAUGGCGUCUAAGAGGAGCCGUAAGCAAUGAUGCAGUGACUUAAUGUGCUUUCUUUUGCAGGAGCUACAGUGAGUGUGUCAGUCUGCAUGUGUGCCACAAUGGGCCAUUGUUCAGGGGGGGAAUGAAGGAUGACUUCUGCUGAGGCAACUUAUGUUCCCAUGCAGCACCUGAAUAUACAGCACGAACUUGAAGACGCACAGUCCAGUUAUGAACACGUUUGCACCCAGAAUGACACACACACACACACACACACACACACACACACACACACACACACACAGCGUGUGCACACGGACAGACAGAUACAACAGACAUGAUUUCAGGAUGAAAACUGGAUGUUGAGCAGCGUGUUUUCUUUGUUCAUUGAUGUGAAUCGUCUCAUUUUAAAACCAUCAAAAGAAAAAAGGUGUGUUCACAUCACAGACUCACUGGAUAUGAUGACUUAAAAUGUGCCUGAUAUCUAUAGCAAAAAUCCAGAAAAUCACUUUUUUUUUUGGAAAAGUAUUUUGCAGUUUAUUGCAUGACAUAAGUAUGUUGUAGUAUACGCAUAUUUACACAAUGCAUGAGUUCAGACUCAUAAAAAGCACAACCACUCUAAAAUAAGGCUCUGCAAGAGCUCUAGCACCGCGCGUGCUGCAUACACAUGAAUGCAGAGCGCUCAGAAAGAAGCCGACCACCUAUUGAUUUAUGGCUAUUUUGCAUAAGCAGCUUCUGCAACAAAGAGGCAAACACAGGGAUGACCCCCCCCCCCGGUGGCAUUAGAAGAAGGGUUCACGAGCUUGUGUGGCGCGAUGGAGACGCUCACAUGUGUGUGGAACCCCAACGCAACGUGUGGCGCCACCGCCAUUUUUGUCAAAUUCCAAUAUCAAGGAAAAUAUAUAGAUUUCUACAAAUGUAAAAUGAAAGGAAACUUUCAUUAAUUUGGAAAAGCGGUGUUGUGGCUGAUAAGGGGCGGGGGGGAGGGAGGUGGGGGGUUCCAUGUUCCAGGAGAGGGACCUCCUGAACUCCAAGUUCAGUGAAGAGGGUUUAUACUGACUGUACACAUUGUUUGUUUGAGAAUCUCACACACACACAACUUCUAUUUAUUUAAAUCAGCCACAUUUCACAACGAUGACCUGAGUGGAGCGAACUCAACGAGGUCCGUUAUAAACACGCCGUCUGGUGUCCAGGAAGUGGAGGAGAGUUUGUACACCGAGUGUCAGACGUGGCUGAUAAACAGAAGAAAGCCAUACUGUCCUUCGGUAAACAAAGGCUGCUAAACAAAUAGCAGAGUGCGUUAUUGUUACUCACAUUCGUGCUUCACACAUACACACGCAGUUUGAAAAGGCAGGAGCAGUAUUUAUUAGCAUGCCAAAUUAAAAGAUGGCACAAAGGAACAUAAAUGACUCUGCGCUCCAAUAGCUUAAUUGCUAAUCUCUUCUUUUAGGACGGUGUUUAUUUCAUUAGUCUCGUUUUAGCGCCGUCGCCAUCUCUCCCUGCUAAUUAACUUGUUUGGAUUGAACGUCUACCCCUCCGUGCCAGACAGCACGAACACCGCUGCAGGGAAAGUAAAGUGUAACAUUACUUCUUUUUCUCCAUGGACGUUCCUAUCCAGAACUUAUCUCCAUGUCUCUCAUCUCUCUGGACUACGCCAUCCGGUUCCCCGGAUCCGAUGAGACGCCAGAAGAAAGCCAGAAGAAAGCCAGUAGAAGGCCAGAAUGCGGUCAGUAGAAGGCCAAGAGAAGACAGGCCAGAAGAAGGCCAGUAGAAGGCCAGAAUGCGGUCAGUAGAAGGCCAGUAGAAGGCCAGGAGAAGGCGAGUAGAAGGCCAGUAGAAGGCCAGGAGGUUGCCAGUAGAAAGCCAGUAGGUGGCCAGUAGAAGGCCAGGAGGUUGCCAGCAGAAGGCCAGGAGGUGGCCAGCAGAAGGCCAGGAGGUGGCCAGCAGAAGGCCAGGAGGUGGCCAGUAGAAGGCCUUUCACUGGUACCCAAUUGCUCCAGUAUUUGCGAGAUGAAAGUCUGUGCUGAGAGAAGCAACAGGUGAACGGGUUUGAAGUGGAGAGAGAAGAACAGGGAGUGACAUGAAGACGUGGGACGUUCAAGGUGAUUUCUGGUCUGAACGUGGUGUAUGUAUGAAACAUGAUUUCUUCAUCUGGAUUCUCUGAGGGGGGGACGGGGGGAAGAGGGGUCACGUCGGCAGACUCAGGGGGCGAAGCCUGUUCGCUGCUUUGUGCGACUGUGCUGACCUGAUUGGCAGUGAAAUAAAAAAAGAACAAUUUCCCGAAAGGGGAAUAUAGAAAAGGGGGGGGGGGUUAUAGAAGAGAAGAGAAAGAGAGGCGGCGGCGAGCGAAAAGUAAAGACAGUGCGCGUUUUUGAUGCACGAGGUGCGAGCGGAAGCAGCGAGACGAAGAGGACGCAAACGCCAGCGAUGAGGGGGAGACCGGGUGUGAGUGGGGGAGGGGGGGGGGGGGUUCUGAACUACUGAACGCCCCUAUCUGGCUGUGUAGGCGGCCAUCUGCACGCCGGGCCCUGGACCCGUCUAAAUUCAGGACGAUUGCACGGUUUCUCAAAUCCUUCGGCGCUAAAAGCUUUUCGCAGCAGCAUCGCGGCCAACGGCAGAGCUCUUUGUCCAAUAGAACAUCUUCUACCUGGAGUUUCUUUUUCCGUGACACGUUGUCUUUCGUUGUGCGCGAUGCCGAAGGUCGGUCACAUUUCGGUUUGACAGUGGCGCUCUGAGAGCAGAAAUGGAUCCGCACCAUGCAGCAGAACCUACGGCCUCAUAGAGCUUCAAACAGAACAGCCAGCUCAUCCGAGGCGGGUUCGAGACAAGCCAAGGCUUUGGUGUUUGACCAUAAGAUCACCACAACCCCCCCCCCCCACGGCAUCAUGAUCAGGGAUACAGUUUAUUUUCUCACCAUUAAAAGAGCUUUUCACCGAAUCGAGGGGACCCGCUGGCAACCAGUGGGGCUACUGGGGUGAAAGGCGGUUUUAAAGAUACACGGCCAUAACCUGCCAAUGGCAACGGGAAUAUAGAGCUGAAGAGGAGCGCUGAACCCCGCGUGGCUUCCCAGGACGAUGUCCUGAUGUCGAGUAAGGUUCAUUCUUGUCCGCACAAUAGGUCACGGCAGAGGUUUAAACAUUGAGAGAACUGGGAAAGCUUCCAAAGGAAGGCGUUUAGAAGGCGUCCAAACCAGACGACCGAAUCACCUCCACUGACCCCUUUCACGGCGUAGGAGUAGUGGUUCUGCAAAGUUCUGCAUCCGUGAUCUUAUUUCCAAAAGUCGUAACUGUCAUCAUGGCUGGGGGACGGGUUGUACCAAUCGAGAGGUAGAUUAAGAGCUUUAACUCCCACGAGGGUCCGGUAUGAUAUCCCCUUCACUCCUGGCGCUGAACCAAUCCAAUCAAACAUCUGCCGCCAUUGUUUUCCGCACAAGGGGCGGCGGUGAAACGCGCUCAUUAUGGAUCCUCCACCUCCUCCAUUCCGCUAAUCCAUGCUUCAACUGGAGUUCUUACCUCGAGUGCAAACUGGCUAAACAUAGCGUAGCAUCUGGCGGCUCCGACCAGGUUCCAACAAUAAACCAGCUGUGCGUCAUCGACUCUCAUGGAAUCCUGUCAGAUCCUCACGUGGGUUUUGUGGACGAGGAGCCAGCCGGGAUCGAACCCCCGAAGAGGGCGGAGGGAGAUGUCGGUUUCUAAACUGCUACGUUUCUACGUCAGGAUGCAUGUUUUCUAAUUGGGCUACAAAUGUAAAAGUCACUUCUCCGCUGUGAUCUGCAGAUUCAUCUUUCAUCGCUUUAAUGUAUUUUAGCAGCUGCACCAGUUUGACUUUCUUCAUAUGCAAACUGCAGACCCAUCUGUCUCUCUUUGUUCCUGAAAGGAUAACACGUAUGCAGGGCGUGUAGUCUGCGGUAGUGGGGGGGGGGGGGGGGCCUUAUCGGAGGCUGCUACCAGGACGCGAACCUUCAAAGAGCAAAGGCAGGUUCUUGCACCG
Molecule: long non-coding RNA, 4681 nt
Organism: Gasterosteus aculeatus aculeatus (three-spined stickleback)
Lineage: Eukaryota; Metazoa; Chordata; Actinopteri; Perciformes; Gasterosteidae
Source: Ensembl